CCUGAGAGGGACAGGGUAGCUGCUCGUCACUUCCUUUCUGACACUUUGGACACAACAUGUUUUCUUUUUAUAAUUAUUUUUGCCGGAAUAUUUUUCUGCAUUUCCACUGUAAGCCCGCUAGGAGCAUGUGGUGAAUUUUUAUCAGGAUUUUCAGGGAAAUUUUAUGGGUUUGUAAAACCCCCCCAGAUAAUGGCUGCUGGGGUCAACUCCGGCACCUCCGCGACCCAAAUCAGGCUAGGCGGUUCAGUGACUAGCUAGACAAAUGGCAACGCGAAACAUGCUGUGCAAGGCCAAUGAAAUGGCCCAACGUGUGUAAACAAUGUGCACAAUCGAUAAUGUUGUUCCCAAGGCUGACCUUAGUGUACCUCCAUCAAGAAGACCUUGUUUGUUCUGGCGGCGUUGACGAGGUCUUUCACCUGACCAGAGUUCAUGGCGAAGGGUUUCUCACACAGAACAUUCUUGCCAGCAUUGAG
This is a long non-coding RNA of Syngnathus acus (greater pipefish), 473 nucleotides long. RefSeq lists it as uncharacterized. Lineage: Eukaryota; Metazoa; Chordata; Actinopteri; Syngnathiformes; Syngnathidae. The record is from RefSeq and is a predicted model, not a curated record. The transcript has 2 exons.